GCAGCGGCCACGACUCAGGCUCGGUGAGAGGCCGCCGGUCUCCAGCGCGCGAAUGCGCCGCGUCUCGCCGAGGGGCGCGUGUGCGCGGAGUGUGUCGGAGUGCCGGGCUGCUGGGGAGGGGGAGAGGGUGUGUCCUGGGGAGGAAUGCUGCUAAACUCCAGAAAUAACUCCCUUCACUCCAUGCUCUUAUCGCACUUAGGACGGCUUUUGCGUUGCCCAGGGGCGGGGGGAAUUGUAAGAAGGUAACAGGCAAGUUCCACCGGCGAUUUCUAAAGCCACUCCCCAUUCAGCUGUGGUUUGAGGCAUUCCCUAAAGACCUCUGUUCAUUUAGGAAACGUUGCAGCUCUCAAGGGGGGAAAUCCAAGAAGCAGCUAGUAGUGAAUUUGUAUUACUGAUAAAAGAAAUCAACGUCCAGCUUGAGGUUCCUUCUGUACCCUUCCACACAAGGUAUCUUUCAGUUGUACUCUCCAUCUGCGUUACCUCUUGUGAG
RNAcentral lists this long non-coding RNA (490 nucleotides) under Homo sapiens (human). RNAcentral's name for it is "HSALNT0080559". Lineage: Eukaryota; Metazoa; Chordata; Mammalia; Primates; Hominidae. The record is from RNAcentral.